ACGGAAGGCAGCAGUGGGGGAUAUUGCACAAUGGGGGAAACCCUGAUGCAGCGACGCCGCGUGAGUGAAGAAGUAUUUCGGUAUGUAAAGCUCCAUCAGCAGGAAAGAUAAUGACGGUACCUGACUAAGAAGCACCGGCUAAAUACGUGCCAGCAGCCGCGGUAAUACGUAUGGUGCAAGCGUUAUCCGGAUUUACUGGGUGUAAAGGGAGCGCAGACGGCAUGGCAAGCCAGAUGUGAAAUCCCGGGGCUCAACCCCGGAACUGCAUUUGAAACUGUAGCCCUUGAGUAUCGGAGAGGCAAGCGGAAUUCCUAGUGUAGCGGUGAAAUGCGUAGAUAUUAGGAGGAACACCAGUGGCGAAGGCGGCUUGCUGGACGACAACUGACGCUGAGGCGCGAAAGCGUGGGGAGCAAACAGGAUUAGAUACCCUGGUA
Molecule: ribosomal RNA, 434 nt
Filed under: uncultured Lachnospiraceae bacterium
Lineage: Bacteria; Bacillati; Bacillota; Clostridia; Lachnospirales; Lachnospiraceae
Description: partial 16S ribosomal RNA
Rfam family: Bacterial small subunit ribosomal RNA
Source: RNAcentral